This 556-nucleotide ribosomal RNA is filed under the name Nodobryoria abbreviata. Its description in RNAcentral is "eukaryotic LSU rRNA". It matches the Rfam family "Eukaryotic large subunit ribosomal RNA", at positions 71 to 641 of the family's 3401-position model. The record is from RNAcentral. Lineage: Eukaryota; Fungi; Ascomycota; Lecanoromycetes; Lecanorales; Parmeliaceae.
GGGAUUGCCUCAGUAACGGCGAGUGAAGCGGCAACAGCUCAAAUUUGAAAUCUGGCCCCUUCGGGGUCCGAGUUGUAAUUUGUAGAGAGUGUUUCGGGCGAGUCCACGGUCUAAGUCCAUUGGAACAUGGCGUCAUAGAGGGUGAGAAUCCCGUAUGUGACUGUGGAUCGAGCCCAUGUGAAGCCUCUUCGACGAGUCGAGUUGUUUGGGAAUGCAGCUCAAAAUGGGUGGUAAAUUUCAUCUAAAGCUAAAUACUGGCUGGAGACCGAUAGCGCACAAGUAGAGUGAUCGAAAGAUGAAAAGCACUUUGGAAAGAGAGUCAAACAGUACGUGAAAUUGUUGAAAGGGAAGCGCUUGCAACCAGACCUGCCCGUAGGUGAUCAGCCGCUGUUCUCAGCGGUGCACUCGCUCUGCGAUCAGGCCAGCAUCGGUUCGGGCGGCCGGAUAAAGGCCUUGGGAAUGUAGCUCCCUCCGGGGAGUCUUAUAGCCCUCGGUGCAAUGCGGCCAGCCGGGACCGAGGACCGCGCUUCGGCUAGGAUGCUGGCGUAAUGGUUGU